GCGCCGCCUGAGCCGCGGUGCGGGCUGCGCGGGGCGCCGGUUCCGCGUAAGCCUGGGUCGGGCGCUGCGUGCGGGACUCUCGUCGCGCGUGGACAGGGAGCGAGCGUGCGGGGGACGUAGGGCGCCGACCUGAGGCUCCCCGGCGCUCCGGCUCCGCUCAGGGCGCCCGCUCAGGGGCCUCCGGCGCGAGGCCCCCUUUGUGGUCAAGAUGGCGGCGCCCAGGCGGGCCGCGCCGAGGUGAGCUGGAGCCGGGCCGGGAGAGGGGCGAGUCUGCCACGCCCAGGACUUGGACCCCGGGCUGGUCUCCCGUCUCCCGGGGAGCGGCGGCUACGGGAUAAGGAAAAGGAUGUGAAGCUCACUGAAGAGGCUUGGGUUGGGAGUGCUGGAGGAGUGUACAGGUGGGGAAAAUGUACCAGUGUGUAUGCCUACUGGGACCACGUUUUCCAGAACAGUUAAGCCCAGUGUCAACUAUGCUGUCCCACCUUCCUCUUCCAGAAAUGACGUCUGCUGAAGGAGAACAUGUUCUAGCAAUGAAAUCUUCAAAAGACUCCUGCUGCUGCUCUGUGACUGCGACCCCCAGGUUGUCUUUGGAAGUUUCUAAGGCCUCCUGAGUAGAGACUGGGACAUGGAAGGAGUCGACAGGCAAAGGAAUCCCAGCAUCACCUGUAAUUUUCUGAAACUGGAGGGAAAGACAAAAGACAAGACAAAAAUUCAGUGAUGAACAAAGCCAACCAUUAAAAUGUAGAGUUCAAAACUUCA
Long non-coding RNA from Orcinus orca (killer whale), 759 nucleotides. RefSeq lists it as uncharacterized. The record is from RefSeq and is a predicted model, not a curated record. NCBI's taxonomy places the organism in Eukaryota, Metazoa, Chordata, Mammalia, Artiodactyla, Delphinidae. The transcript has 4 exons.